UGGGGAAUUUUGGACAAUGGGCGAAAGCCUGAUCCAGCAAUGCCGCGUGUGUGAAGAAGGCCUUCGGGUUGUAAAGCACUUUCGUCCGGAAAGAAAUCCUUGGCUCUAAUACAGUCGGGGGAUGACGGUACCGGAAGAAUAAGCACCGGCUAACUACGUGCCAGCAGCCGCGGUAAUACGUAGGGUGCAAGCGUUAAUCGGAAUUACUGGGCGUAAAGCGUGCGCAGGCGGUUUGCUAAGACCGAUGUGAAAUCCCCGGGCUCAACCUGGGAACUGCAUUGGUGACUGGCAGGCUAAGUANGGCAGAGGGGGGUAGGAAUUCCACGUGUAGCAGUGAAAUGCGUAGAGAUGUGGAGGAAUACCGAUGGCGAAGGCAGCCCCCUGGGCCAAUACUGACGCUCAUGCACGAAAGCGUGGGGAGCAAACAGGAUUAGAUACCCCUGGUAGUCCACGCCCCUAAACGAUGUCAACUAGUUGUUGGGGAUUCAUUUCCUUAGUAACGUAGCUAACGCGUGAAGUUGACCGCCUGGGGAGUACGGUCGCAAGAUU
This 549-nucleotide ribosomal RNA is filed under the name uncultured bacterium. RNAcentral describes it as "partial 16S ribosomal RNA". It matches the Rfam family "Bacterial small subunit ribosomal RNA", at positions 355 to 895 of the family's 1533-position model. The record is from RNAcentral.